UGAGUGCUUUUGAGCUAAGGAUGACUUGCCGGUAUAUAAGUAUGGGUAUUGCCAGCAAGACAUCCUUUCUCACUUGUGUUCU
This is a non-coding RNA of Glycine max (soybean), 82 nucleotides long. The record is from Rfam. Lineage: Eukaryota; Viridiplantae; Streptophyta; Magnoliopsida; Fabales; Fabaceae.